Molecule: long non-coding RNA, 1269 nt
Filed under: Homo sapiens (human)
Lineage: Eukaryota; Metazoa; Chordata; Mammalia; Primates; Hominidae
Description: non-protein coding lnc-TRMT11-4:1
Source: RNAcentral
CAGAGGAUUUGAUUAUUGAGUUAUCUUUCUAUUCUGCUGCUGUCAGUAGAUUUGCCAUAAAUGUUUCCUGAGAGUCUCUCUCUUGAAGAGAUUCAGGCCCCAGUUAAGUUCAUCCCAAUUAAAAAUAGAACCCUGAGAUGCAGCAGCUGUAGCACCUCUUAAACCUCUUCAAAUAACAUUGUUUAGGCUGCCAAAUCUCUUUUAUAAACAUUUCGUUAGCUAGGUAGGAUUUUUAUAUACUUUCCCAAAGGGCCAAGUUGACAGACAUGGGCUUUCACUUUAUUUCCAUAGAGAUCUGGAUCCAAAUCCCUGGGUCCAAAUAUAUGCCAUUCACUUCCCAUAUUUAGUCCUGUUAUCUCUCUGAAGACUGGCCCAAGAGAGGCCUUUCUGAUGAGACAUUUAGCACAGCGAUUAAUCACUAGAUAAACAUGUGAAUGGGUCCAUUUGCAAAGUGAAAGCUCCCUAAACAGAGGCUUGUCCUUUACAAAAAGAGCAGGUCCAAUUUUCCUUAAAAGUUCAUGGUUGCCUAUGUGGUGUGAUUUGAGAAAUCCUGAACCUUCUGUUCCCAUUACUUUCCCUGUUGAGCUCUACAUUUCAUAGUGUAUCACUCCUGUGGAUGAAACCUGGCCUCUCCAGGGCAGUUUCUCUAAUAAAUGGCCAUAGUCCUGGGAAAGGUCCUGAUGCCUUAGUGUGCAGUGUGCUUGACACCAUAAGAUCCUUUCUUCUUUGAUAAAAAAAAAAAAAAAAAAGACUAAGACAAGAAAACUGGUGGCUGUUGGGGAAAGGUGUGGAAAGAAUGAAAGAAGAAAACCGAUGCAUGGAAAGAUGGUAAAGUACCAAUGGACCGGUGUGAGUCAGGUUCUGAAUUUAGGAGUGAGGACUCAAAUAUGCCUGUUUACUGGGUUAGCUUUUGGAACGAUCCUAUGGAACAUAUAUCCUAUGAACAUUAUAGAAGUCACUAAAGCUGACUGCAAAUUGAGUGUAAGUUGAGAGUAUCUUUCUGGAAAAACAAAUUGGAAAUAUUUAUCAAAGGGAUAAAGAACUUACAUAUAUUUAGAACCAAAAAUUUCAAUUGCAGGACUCUAUCCUAAGAAAAACAAUUAGCAAUGAACACGUUUCAACCCAAAGAUGUUCACUGGGACAUUAUUUAAAAUAGCAAAAAUAUUAGAACAAGUUACAUGUUUAUUAAUAGAGAAAUGAAUACUAUGGAAAUAAAUUUAUGCUGUAAAAGUGACCAAAUAAAGCUUGGCUCAGGGGCUCAUGCCUGUA